GUGGGGAAUUUUGGACAAUGGGCGAAAGCCUGAUCCAGCCAUUCCGCGUGCAGGAUGAAGGCCCUCGGGUUGUAAACUGCUUUUGUACAGAACGAAAAAGCUCUGGUUAAUACCUGGAGUCCAUGACGGUACUGUAAGAAUAAGCACCGGCUAACUACGUGCCAGCAGCCGCGGUAAUACGUAGGGUGCAAGCGUUAAUCGGAAUUACUGGGCGUAAAGCGUGCGCAGGCGGUGAUGUAAGACAGUUGUGAAAUCCCCGGGCUCAACCUGGGAACUGCAUCUGUGACUGCAUCGCUGGAGUGCGGCAGAGGGGGAUGGAAUUCCGCGUGUAGCAGUGAAAUGCGUAGAUAUGCGGAGGAACACCGAUGGCGAAGGCAAUCCCCUGGGCCUGCACUGACGCUCAUGCACGAAAGCGUGGGGAGCAAACAGG
Molecule: ribosomal RNA, 430 nt
Filed under: uncultured bacterium
Lineage: Bacteria
Description: bacterial SSU rRNA
Rfam family: Bacterial small subunit ribosomal RNA
Source: RNAcentral